UGCACAAAUGUCACCUCAUUGCAGCAUC
RNAcentral lists this non-coding RNA (28 nucleotides) under Mus musculus (house mouse). The record is from RNAcentral. Lineage: Eukaryota; Metazoa; Chordata; Mammalia; Rodentia; Muridae.